This 794-nucleotide ribosomal RNA is filed under the name uncultured bacterium. Its description in RNAcentral is "bacterial SSU rRNA". It matches the Rfam family "Bacterial small subunit ribosomal RNA", at positions 28 to 849 of the family's 1533-position model. The record is from RNAcentral.
AAUGAACGCUGGCGGCGUGCUUAACACAUGCAAGUCGAACGAUGAUUAAGAGCUUGCUCUUAUGAUUAGUGGCGCACGGGUGAGUAAUAUAUAGGUUACGUGCCUCUUAGUCUGGGAUAGCCACUGGAAACGGUGAUUAAUACUGGAUAUUCCUGUUCGCAGGGAAAGGUUUUUCGCUAAGAGAUCGGCCUAUACUGUAUCAGCUUGUUGGUGAGGUAAGAGCUCACCAAGGCUAUGACACAUAGCGGGUUUGAGAGGAUGAUCCGCCACACUGGUACUGAGACACGGACCAGACUCCUACGGGAGGCAGCAGUGAGGAAUAUUGCACAAUGGGGGAAACCCUGAUGCAGCAACGCCGCGUGGAGGAUGACGCAUUUCGGUGUGUAAACUCCUUUUAUCAGAGAAGAACAUGACGGUAUCUGAUGAAUAAGCUCCGGCUAACUCCGUGCCAGCAGCCGCGGUAAUACGGAGGGAGCAAGCGUUAUUCGGAAUCACUGGGCGUAAAGGACGCGUAGGCGGGUUUUUAAGUCAGAUGUGAAAUCCUAUGGCUCAACCAUAGAACUGCAUUUGAAACUGGGAACCUCUAGAGUAUGGAAGGGGAAGAUGGAAUUAGUGGUGUAGGGGUAAAAUCCGUAGAUAUCACUAGGAAUACCGAAAGCGAAGGCGAUCUUCUGGGACAUAACUGACGCUGAGGCGUGAAAGCGUGGGGAGCAAACAGGACUUAGAUACCCUGGUAGUCCACGCCCUAAACGAUGAGUGCUAGUCGUCGGAGAGCUCGUCUNNUUCGGUGAUGC